RNAcentral lists this ribosomal RNA (75 nucleotides) under uncultured Eubacteriales bacterium. RNAcentral's name for it is "uncultured Clostridiales bacterium partial 16S ribosomal RNA". Lineage: Bacteria; Bacillati; Bacillota; Clostridia; Eubacteriales. The record is from RNAcentral.
AGGGUUUGACAUCCCUUGAACGAUGUAGAGAUACAUAAUUCCCUUCGGGGACAAGGAGACAGGUGGUGCAUGGUU